RNAcentral lists this ribosomal RNA (1676 nucleotides) under Escherichia coli. Its description in RNAcentral is "partial 23S ribosomal RNA". It matches the Rfam family "Bacterial large subunit ribosomal RNA", at positions 1271 to 2925 of the family's 2925-position model. The record is from RNAcentral. Lineage: Bacteria; Pseudomonadati; Pseudomonadota; Gammaproteobacteria; Enterobacterales; Enterobacteriaceae.
UGCUGGAGGUAUCAGAAGUGCGAAUGCUGACAUAAGUAACGAUAAAGCGGGUGAAAAGCCCGCUCGCCGGAAGACCAAGGGUUCCUGUCCAACGUUAAUCGGGGCAGGGUGAGUCGACCCCUAAGGCGAGGCCGAAAGGCGUAGUCGAUGGGAAACAGGUUAAUAUUCCUGUACUUGGUGUUACUGCGAAGGGGGGACGGAGAAGGCUAUGUUGGCCGGGCGACGGUUGUCCCGGUUUAAGCGUGUAGGCUGGUUUUCCAGGCAAAUCCGGAAAACCAAGGCUGAGGCGUGAUGACGAGGCACUACGGUGCUGAAGUGACAAAUGCCCUGCUUCCAGGAAAAGCCUCUAAGCAUCAGGUAACAUCAAAUCGUACCCCAAACCGACACAGGUGGUCAGGUAGAGAAUACCAAGGCGCUUGAGAGAACUCGGGUGAAGGAACUAGGCAAAAUGGUGCCGUAACUUCGGGAGAAGGCACGCUGAUAUGUAGGUGAAGCGACUUGCUCGUGGAGCUGAAAUCAGUCGAAGAUACCAGCUGGCUGCAACUGUUUAUUAAAAACACAGCACUGUGCAAACACGAAAGUGGACGUAUACGGUGUGACGCCUGCCCGGUGCCGGAAGGUUAAUUGAUGGGGUUAGCGGUAACGCGAAGCUCUUGAUCGAAGCCCCGGUAAACGGCGGCCGUAACUAUAACGGUCCUAAGGUAGCGAAAUUCCUUGUCGGGUAAGUUCCGACCUGCACGAAUGGCGUAAUGAUGGCCAGGCUGUCUCCACCCGAGACUCAGUGAAAUUGAACUCGCUGUGAAGAUGCAGUGUACCCGCGGCAAGACGGAAAGACCCCGUGAACCUUUACUAUAGCUUGACACUGAACAUUGAGCCUUGAUGUGUAGGAUAGGUGGGAGGCUUUGAAGUGUGGACGCCAGUCUGCAUGGAGCCGACCUUGAAAUACCACCCUUUAAUGUUUGAUGUUCUAACGUUGGCCCGUAAUCCGGGUUGCGGACAGUGUCUGGUGGGUAGUUUGACUGGGGCGGUCUCCUCCUAAAGAGUAACGGAGGAGCACGAAGGUUGGCUAAUCCUGGUCGGACAUCAGGAGGUUAGUGCAAUGGCAUAAGCCAGCUUGACUGCGAGCGUGACGGCGCGAGCAGGUGCGAAAGCAGGUCAUAGUGAUCCGGUGGUUCUGAAUGGAAGGGCCAUCGCUCAACGGAUAAAAGGUACUCCGGGGAUAACAGGCUGAUACCGCCCAAGAGUUCAUAUCGACGGCGGUGUUUGGCACCUCGAUGUCGGCUCAUCACAUCCUGGGGCUGAAGUAGGUCCCAAGGGUAUGGCUGUUCGCCAUUUAAAGUGGUACGCGAGCUGGGUUUAGAACGUCGUGAGACAGUUCGGUCCCUAUCUGCCGUGGGCGCUGGAGAACUGAGGGGGGCUGCUCCUAGUACGAGAGGACCGGAGUGGACGCAUCACUGGUGUUCGGGUUGUCAUGCCAAUGGCACUGCCCGGUAGCUAAAUGCGGAAGAGAUAAGUGCUGAAAGCAUCUAAGCACGAAACUUGCCCCGAGAUGAGUUCUCCCUGAGACUUAGAGUCUCCUGAAGGAACGUUGAAGACGACGACGUUGAUAGGCCGGGUGUGUAAGCGCAGCGAUGCGUUGAGCUAACCGGUACUAAUGAACCGUGAGGCUUAACCUU